This 52-nucleotide ribosomal RNA is filed under the name Trichoderma harzianum. RNAcentral describes it as "partial 28S ribosomal RNA". The record is from RNAcentral. RNAcentral also lists the same sequence under 5 other names. Lineage: Eukaryota; Fungi; Ascomycota; Sordariomycetes; Hypocreales; Hypocreaceae.
UGACCUCGGAUCAGGUAGGAAUACCCGCUGAACUUAAGCAUAUCAAUAAGCG